AACGAACGCUGGCGGCAUGCCUAACACAUGCAAGUCGAACGAGACCUUCGGGUCUAGUGGCGCACGGGUGCGUAACGCGUGGGAACCUGCCCUUAGGUUCGGAAUACCUCCCCGAAAGGGGUGCUAAUACCGGAUAAUGUCUUCGGCCCAAAGAUUUAUCGCCUUUGGAUGGGCCCGCGUUGGAUUAGCUAGUUGUUAGGGUAAAAGCAUACCAAGGCGACGAUCCAUAGCUGGUCUGAGAGGAUGAUCAGCCACACUGGGACUGAGACACGGCCCAGACUCCUACGGGAGGCAGCAGUGGGGAAUAUUGGAAAAUGGGCGAAAGCCUGAUCCAGCAAUGCCGCGUGAGUGAUGAAGGCCUUAGGGUUGUAAAGCUCUUUUACCCGGGAUGAUAAUGACAGUACCGGGAGAAUAAGCUCCGGCUAACUCCGUG
This 433-nucleotide ribosomal RNA is filed under the name uncultured bacterium. RNAcentral's name for it is "partial 16S ribosomal RNA". It matches the Rfam family "Bacterial small subunit ribosomal RNA", at positions 29 to 507 of the family's 1533-position model. The record is from RNAcentral.